GGGUGCCAUUUGGGAGACAGUCACCACAAUGAAAGAUGAUGGUAAGGAAUUCUCUGCUGCUUGUUGAGAAUGCAUUGUCUCAUUAUGAGAGUGGGCUGAAUGAGAGGGUGCUAUCCCUCAUUAUUACAGUGGGCUGAAUGAGAAGGUGCUAUGCCUCAUUAUUACAGUGGGCUGAAUGAGAGGGUGCCAUGCUUCAUUAUUACAGUGGGCUGAAUGAGAGGUUGCUAUGCCUCAUUAUUACAGUGGGCUGAAUGAGAGGGUGCCAUGCCUCAUUAUUACAGUGGGCUGAAUGAGAGGGUGCUAUGCCUCAUUAUUACAGUGGGCUGAAUGAGAGGGUGCCAUGCCUCAUUAUUACAGUGGGCUGAAUGAGAGGGUGCCAUGCCUCAUUAUUAGAGUGGGCUGAAUGAGAUUGUGCUAUGCCUCAUUAUUACAGUGGGCUGAAUGAGAGGGUGCUAUGCCUCAUUAUUAGAGUGGGCAGAUUGAGAAGGUGCUAUGCCUCAUUAUUAGAGUGGGCUGAAUGAGAGGGUGCCAUGCCUCAUUAUUAGAGUGGGCUGAAUGAGAGGGUGCCAUGCCUCAUUAUUAGAGUGGGCUGAAUGAGAGGUUGCUAUGCCUCAUUAUUACAGUGGGCUGAAUGAGAAGGUUGCUAUGUCUCAUUAUUAGAGUGGGCUGAAUGAGAGGUUGCUAUGUCUCAUUAUUAGAGUGGGCUGAAUGAGAAGGUUGCUAUGUCUCAUUAUUAGAGUGGGCUGAAUGAGAGGUUGCUAUGCCUCAUUAUUACAGUGGGCUGAAUGAGAAGGUGCUAUGCCUCAUUAUUAGAGUGGGCUGAAUGAGAGGUUGCUAUGUCUCAUUAUUAGAGUGGGCUGAAUGAGAAGGUGCUAUGCCUCAUUAUUAGAGUGGGCUGAAUGAGAAGGUUGCUAUGUCUCAUUAUUAGAGUGGGCUGAAUGAGAGGUUGCUAUGUCUCAUUAUUAGAGUGGGCUGAAUGAGAAGGUGCUAUGCCUCAUUAUUAGAGUGGGCUGAAUGAGAAGGUUGCUAUGUCUCAUUAUUAGAGUGGGCUGAAUGAGAAGGUGCUAUGCCUCAUUAUUAGAGUGGGCUGAAUGAGAAGGUGCUAUGCCUCAUUAUUAGAGUGGGCUGAAUGAGAAGGUUGCUAUGUCUCAUUAUUAGAGUGGGCUGAAUGAGAAGGUGCUAUGCCUCAUUAUUAGAGUGGGCUGAAUGAGAGGUUGCUAUGUCUCAUUAUUAGAGUGGGCUGAAUGAGAAGGUGCUAUGCCUCAUUAUUAGAGUGGGCUGAAUGAGAAGGUUGCUAUGUCUCAUUAUUAGAGUGGGCUGAAUGAGAAGGUUGCUAUGUCUCAUUAUUAGAGUGGGCUGAAUGAGAGGUUGCUAUGUCUCAUUAUUAGAGUGGGCUCGAUACUACCCCCACCUCCCCCUAACCCACUCACCCAUCAGAGCGUGUGUGUGUGUGUGUGUUUGGUACCGCUGGUUUUGAGAUUCUGCACUAACGCUCCUCUCUG
Molecule: long non-coding RNA, 1502 nt
Organism: Oncorhynchus keta (chum salmon)
Lineage: Eukaryota; Metazoa; Chordata; Actinopteri; Salmoniformes; Salmonidae
Exons: 7
Source: RefSeq, a predicted model, not a curated record